This 497-nucleotide ribosomal RNA is filed under the name uncultured bacterium. Its description in RNAcentral is "partial 16S ribosomal RNA". It matches the Rfam family "Bacterial small subunit ribosomal RNA", at positions 28 to 507 of the family's 1533-position model. The record is from RNAcentral.
GAUGAACGCUGGCGGCGUGCCUAAUACAUGCAAGUCGAGCGAACAGACGAGGAGCUUGCUCCUCUGACGUUAGCGGCGGACGGGUGAGUAACACGUGGAUAACCUACCUAUAAGACUGGGAUAACUUCGGGAAACCGGAGCUAAUACCGGAUAAUAUAUUGCACCGCAUGGUUCAAUAGUGAAAGACGGUUUUGCUGUCACUUAUAGAUGGAUCCGCGCCGCAUUAGCUAGUUGGUAAGGUAACGGCUUACCAAGGCGACGAUGCGUAGCCGACCGGAGAGGGUGAUCGGCCACACUGGAACUGAGACACGGUCCAGACUCCUGCGGGAGGCAGCAGUAGGGAAUCUUCCGCAAUGGGCGAAAGCCUGACGGAGCAACGCCGCGUGAGUGAUGAAGGUCUUCGGAUCGUAAAACUCUGUUAUUAGGGAAGGACAAAUGUGUAAGUAACUAUGCACGUCUUGACGGUACCUAAUCAGAAAGCCACGGCUAACUACGUG